GUAAACCAUUUGGUCUCUUUCAUCAGACCCUGUGCAAUUGCUAUAGCACGGUGAUAUUUUCUUUGUUUGGGAAUUAGUUAAAUAAUAAUCAUGGGUUCUGGAGGAGCUGGGGGACCAGAAGGACAUGGAGGGCCUGGAGGACCACCUGGACCACAUGGAGGGGGAUUCUUUGCCUGCAUUCGACAAUGUUUCUACUUUCUGUGCUGCUGUUGCCUGUUUCAAGGAUGCUGUGAAUCUUGCUGCCCUUGCUGUCCUUGCUGUGAAUCUUGCUGCCCACCCUUUGGAGAGCCUCCCCACUGAACAAAACCCAUAUUUGUGGAAAGCUUCUUGAAGCUCAUAUGCAUUUGUGUUAAGUAGGACAUACGUAUAUAUAACUACUGUGGCAGUUGUAUAGUUUGAAAUUUUAGUGGUAAAAAGUCUUUGUUUCUGCUUUCCCAUUACAAUGAAAUGUUCUGGACAGCCAUGGUAAUUUGGUGUAUUGUCUUUAAUUUUCUUAAAACUUAUUUCAAUCUCAUACAAUUCUUUAUGAACACAAGCACUCCAGGUUUAAUGCCUAGCUUGCCUCUUGCCAAAAAUUGUCUGGUUAAACUCAAUGUAUAUUGAGCACUAAAAGUGUAUAUGAUCAAUGGAAGGAUGGUUUGUCUCGA
Long non-coding RNA from Cryptomeria japonica (Japanese cedar), 647 nucleotides. RefSeq lists it as uncharacterized. NCBI's taxonomy places the organism in Eukaryota, Viridiplantae, Streptophyta, Pinopsida, Cupressales, Cupressaceae. The transcript is spliced from 2 exons. The record is from RefSeq and is a predicted model, not a curated record.